Molecule: long non-coding RNA, 1384 nt
Filed under: Brassica napus (rape)
Lineage: Eukaryota; Viridiplantae; Streptophyta; Magnoliopsida; Brassicales; Brassicaceae
Description: long non-coding RNA (BNAP_LNC022160)
Source: RNAcentral
AUAAAGCUACUUAAGAUUCUAAUCCUAUGAUUAUUGUGAGAACUAAAAAGAAUAAUCAGUGAAUUUGAGAGAGAAAAGAGAGAGAUUACAUUACCUUCUUCAUAGGAAAGCCUUUCUUUCUUCUUCUGCAUUCCUCAAACUGUAUCUUCCCAAGAAACCCAACACAGAAGAAAAUCAAGAAGGUACUUACUUUGCAUCUUUCAUAGUUAUCUUUUAUUUACCCAUUUUGAAGGGUUUGUUAAUUCUUGUCUAUAUAUAGACAAACGCGUAUUUGUCCGUUUACAUAUACGUAUCUGCCUUUUUAAUUGUUUUUUAUGUCGGAGAAGUUUAGUGAAUUGUGGCGGAGAUGAAACUCGGAGCUCCGAGAAAGAAGUCGGGUUGGGUUAUGCUCCAAGUUCUUCUUCUGCAUCUCCUUGUUCAAAGUGUUCAUUCUCAGAACUCACGGUAUGUUUGCUCUUAACUCAAAGCUCUGUUUUUUCUCCACCCGGACCGGGCCGGGUCAUGUUUUCAUCCGUCUCCCUUUUUCUUACUUUUUAGUUGAAAAUAAUUUAUUGAGACACCACUUCUGAAAACCGUAAGGUUUUUAUGUAGUUCAUAGUCCAAAUUAAAGCUUCACAUUCAACAUAUCUGAUGUCUUCUAUUACAUUGUCAAAUGUGCCUCCUUUGCUGGAAAACCACCAUUGACCUGUAAAAUCAUUUUCUUCUUUGAAACUCCAUCCACAUAACACCAUCUCAUAGCUUCCAAAUAAUAAUGGAUUAAAACCUUAUAAAAUGCCUUCAAAAUCUUGCGUUUAAGAUGCAUUCAUUAUUUUCAUUUUAGAUCUAGUUGUAUUACAUAUAUAUAUAUACUAAUAAAUUUAUUGUUAUUAUAUUUACAUCACAUUUUUAAUUAUUUAUAUUAUCAAUGUAUUAGUUGGGGUAAAUUAUAUAUCUUAGUCAAAGAAUAUAAUAUUUCUCUUAUUUUGGUAAAUCAGUUUUUCUUCUUAAUUAAUUUUAUAAAGAAAGAUGAAAAAAGGUUAGGCAACAAAAAGUCACACCUGCAACAUUAAGAUGGUCUAGAUCAAUUACGUACGCGCACACAUUUAGAUAUGCAGCAUAUACAUAUACGUAUGUAUAUAUAUAUGUACUCCUCCGAUCCCCACCUCUUAUUGUAGAUUCUGGAGAUUUAUAAAGCUACUUAAGAUUCUAAUCCUAUGAUUAUUGUGAGAACUAAAAAGAAUAAUCAGUGAAUUUUACAGAGAAAAGAGAGAGAUUACAUUACCUUCUUCAUAGGAAAGCCUUUCUUUCUUCUUCUGCAUUCCUCAAACUGUAUCUUCCCAAGAAACCCAACACAGAAGAAAAUCAAGAAGGUACUUACUUUUCAUCUUUCAUAGUUAUCUUUUAU